CCCUUCCUUAGCUAACAGGUCUGCAACUUAAUUAAUUUUGUUCCCUAAAGCCAUGCACCGAUGCUUGCAUCAGCUAGACUGCCUAGCUCAUACCCCUUGAAGUACGACCUUUAUCUGGACCCUGCUUGAACACUAAAUGCUUUAUUCACGGAGUUGUCAUUUAUUUUUGUUUCCUUAAAGCUAUGCCGGAUGCGCACCUCUCAACUGGUGCAAAAAUGACCUGUAAUCAGAGAUAAUAUUAGUAGUUAUCAUCUUUUAUGAAUGGGCUUGC
This 271-nucleotide long non-coding RNA is filed under the name Nicotiana benthamiana. RNAcentral's name for it is "long non-coding RNA (NBEN_LNC033433)". Lineage: Eukaryota; Viridiplantae; Streptophyta; Magnoliopsida; Solanales; Solanaceae. The record is from RNAcentral.